UCGGGAAUUUUGCGCAAUGGACGAAAGUCUGACGCAGCAACGCCGCGUGAGGGAUGACGGCCUUCGGGUUGUAAACCUCUUUUGUCAGGGAAGAUGAUGACGGUACCUGACGAAUAAGUCACGGCUAACUACGUGCCAGCAGCCGCGGUAAUACGUAGGUGACAAGCGUUGUCCGGAUUUACUGGGCGUAAAGAGCGCGCAGGCGGUCGAUCAAGUCGAGUGUGAAAGCCCCCGGCUCAACUGGGGAGGGUCAUUCGAAACUGAUCGACUCGAAGGCAGGAGAGGGAAGUGGAAUUCCCGGUGUAGUGGUGAAAUGCGUAGAUAUGUGGAGGAAUACCGAUGGCGAAGGCAGCCCCCUGGGAUAACACUGACGCUCAUGCACGAAAGCGUGGGGAGCAAACAGGAUUAGAUACCCCAGUAGUCCCUGAGCGGGCUGGCAAGGCGCAU
This 447-nucleotide ribosomal RNA is filed under the name uncultured bacterium. RNAcentral describes it as "bacterial SSU rRNA". It matches the Rfam family "Bacterial small subunit ribosomal RNA", at positions 355 to 825 of the family's 1533-position model. The record is from RNAcentral.